UACUCAGUUCAGAUUGCAGGCUGCAACCCGCCUGCAUGAAGUCGGAAUUGCUAGUAAUCGCGGAUCAGCAUGCCGCGGUGAAUACGUUCCCGGGCCUUGUACACACCGCCCGUCACACCAUGGGAGCCGGUAAUACCCGAAGUCAGUAGUCCAACCUCGUGAGGACGCUGCCGAAGGUAGGAUUGGCGACUGGGGUGAAGUCGUAACAAGGUAUC
RNAcentral lists this ribosomal RNA (215 nucleotides) under uncultured bacterium. RNAcentral's name for it is "partial 16S ribosomal RNA". It matches the Rfam family "Bacterial small subunit ribosomal RNA", at positions 1285 to 1500 of the family's 1533-position model. The record is from RNAcentral.